RNAcentral lists this long non-coding RNA (1695 nucleotides) under Pan troglodytes (chimpanzee). RNAcentral describes it as "long non-coding RNA NONPTRT000714". The record is from RNAcentral. Lineage: Eukaryota; Metazoa; Chordata; Mammalia; Primates; Hominidae.
GGCUCCCCUUACCCGGCUCAGGUGGUAGCCGGCGUGUCCCUGAGCCCGCGCCCGGCGCUCUGAGAGGGUGGCCGUGGUUAAUUCCCGGUAGUGACCGCCAUAGCGCCACGUGGCCGCUGCUUGACAAAGGAAACUUUUUUCAACCUCCAGUGAGCCUAAGAAAGCCCCAGCAUUUCAGGCCAAGCCGCUGGCUGCCUGGCUUCUGUUUUUACUCCUUUCCUUCUGUCCCUUUCUGGGACGAGCCACACCUUCUCUGCUUUCUCUGGGCCCGUCCAGGACGCUGGGCCCGGGGCCUGGCGCGGUGAGCUGCAGAUAGCCGGGGGCGCAGGGCAGCCCGGAGGCCGGAGGGCGACCUGGAAGGCUGGACCCGUGCGGGGCGUCUGGUGCUCAAGGAAAGUCAGCUCCCGCCGCCCCUCAGGGCCAGGUGGGUGCAUGAAGUACCCGGUGGCCCAGGUGCCUUUCCCCAACCCAAGGAGCUCAGAACUCUUGGCAGUUCGACGUUUGCAAACAAACCAAAGAGGAGCAGAAAGUUUUCAGACUGAGGCGACAUCCCAACAGCUUGGCUUGAAGGAGUACUUUAGGACUCAGAACAACAGGAUGAAGACAGCAGCUAAAAUAGAACACACCAGCAGAGACAUUCAGCUCCUCGAGCUGUGCUUCCGAAGCUCGAGCAUGGCAGAGUGGCCUUGUUAAAUCAGAGUUCAGGGUGCCACCCUGACAGUUUCUGGUUCUGUAGGUGCCCAGUAGGGACCAAGAAUCCUUUUUUUUUUCCUUUUUCUUUUUAAUAGAGUCAGAGUCUUGCUGUGUUGCCCACAUGGGUCUCAAACUCAAGCAAUCCUCCCACCUCGACCUCCCAAAGCACUGGAAUUCCAGGCAUAAGCCACCGUGCCUGGCCAAGAACAUUUUUUUUUUUUUAACAAGUUUCUAAAUGAUGCUGGUCUACUGGUCCUGGGACCACACUUUGAAAUUGGUGGGAUAGGGGGCUGGGAUCUUUAUCCAUUCACUCAACUCCCAUUCCCCAUGGUUGAAAGUUUCCCUGGGGCAUCCCUGGGAGGCCUGGGGGCUGACAAGAUUCAAACUUUUUGGUGAAAAGCCCCAAGACAGUGAAGUGGGGUGUGCUUGAAGUGGGGCACCGUCAUCACCCACCUACCCACCACAGAGGUGGGCUAAAAGGUUACCAGACCGGAGCCUCCAGCAAUCCAGGAGCACAAACAAGGAUGCCUUAAAACAAAACUUGUGUCAGGGUACCCUUCGCUGCCUCAGAGGAAAUCAGAAUGACCUGGUGGACAACUGUUCAUAAGGACAAGAGCCAGCAUCACUGCCUUUGAGUCCCAGCCUCCUCAAAUCCAUUUUCUGCCCUGCACCACCUCAUCAUAUCCCAGAUAUUGUUAGUGUCGUGUCAUUUCAUGACUCAGGAGCUGCGGGUGACUUUGGUAAGAGCGGAGCGGUCGCUGUCUCAUCUGUCACCUCCUCCCUUCACCUCUGUGCAGCCAACAUCCAGGGAGCCUGCCUCUUGCUGUCCUUUUCAAAGCUUUCUGGGUCUCUCCUCUGUGCCUCUGAUCCAGUCUUUCAUGCUGCCCAGAACACUGUCUCUUUCUCCCAUGCCAGUGACAUCCAUUACUUUCUUCAAGGUCUGGCUCAAAACCCAGCACUCAGCCAGGCACGGUGGCUCACACCUGUAAUCCCACCACUUUG